RNAcentral lists this ribosomal RNA (484 nucleotides) under uncultured bacterium. RNAcentral's name for it is "bacterial SSU rRNA". It matches the Rfam family "Bacterial small subunit ribosomal RNA", at positions 30 to 507 of the family's 1533-position model. The record is from RNAcentral.
AUUGAACGCUGGCGGCAUGCCUUACACAUGCAAGUCGAACGGCAGCACGGGAGCAAUCCUGGUGGCGAGUGGCGAACGGGUGAGUAAUGUAUCGGAACGUACCUUUCAGUGGGGAAUAACGUAGCGAGAGUUACGCUAAUACCGCAUAUUCUGUGAGCAGGAAAGCAGGGGAUCGCAAGACCUUGCGCUGAUUGAGCGGCCGAUAUCAGAUUAGCUAGUUGGUGAGGUAAAGGCUCACCAAGGCGACGAUCUGUAGCGGGUCUGAGAGGAUGAUCCGCCACACUGGAACUGAGACACGGUCCAGACUCCUACGGGAGGCAGCAGUGGGGAAUUUUGGACAAUGGGCGCAAGCCUGAUCCAGCCAUGCCGCGUGAGUGAAGAAGGCCUUCGGGUUGUAAAGCUCUUUCAGCCGGGAAGAAAACGCAUGGGUUAAUACCCUGUGUGGAUGACGGUACCGGAAUAAGAAGCACCGGCUAACUACGUG